CCUACGGGUGGCAGCAGUGGGGAAUAUUGGACAAUGGGGGAAACCCUGAUCCAGCGACGCCGCGUGAGUGAAGAAGUAUUUCGGUACGUAAAGCUCUAUCAGCAGGAAAGAAAAUGACGGUACUUGACUAAGAAGCCCCGGCUAACUACGUGCCAGCAGCCGCGGUAAUACGUAGGGGGCAAGCGUUAUCCGGAUUUACUGGGUGUAAAGGGAGCGUAGACGGCAGCGCAAGUCUGGAGUGAAAUCCCGGGGCUCAACCCCGGAAGUGCUGUGGAUACUGUGAAGCUGGAGUGCAGGAGAGGGAAGCGGAAUUCCUGGUGUAGCGGUGAAAUGCGUAGAUAUCAGGAGGAACACCGGCGGCGAAGGCGGCUUACUGGACUGUAACUGACGUUGAGGCUCGAAGGCGUGGGGAGCAAACAGGAUUAGAUACCCCAGUAGUC
RNAcentral lists this ribosomal RNA (440 nucleotides) under uncultured bacterium. Its description in RNAcentral is "partial 16S ribosomal RNA". It matches the Rfam family "Bacterial small subunit ribosomal RNA", at positions 338 to 795 of the family's 1533-position model. The record is from RNAcentral.